RNAcentral lists this transfer RNA (71 nucleotides) under Nomascus leucogenys (northern white-cheeked gibbon). Its description in RNAcentral is "tRNA-Gly (GCC) (tRNA-Gly-GCC-3-1)". It matches the Rfam family "tRNA". From Rfam's summary of the family: Transfer RNA (tRNA) molecules are approximately 80 nucleotides in length. Their secondary structure includes four short double-helical elements and three loops (D, anti-codon, and T loops). Further hydrogen bonds mediate the characteristic L-shaped molecular structure. tRNAs have two regions of fundamental functional importance: the anti-codon, which is responsible for specific mRNA codon recognition, and the 3' end, to which the tRNAs corresponding amino acid is attached (by aminoacyl-tRNA synthetases). tRNAs cope with the degeneracy of the genetic code in two manners: having more than one tRNA (with a specific anti-codon) for a particular amino acid; and 'wobble' base-pairing, i.e. permitting non-standard base-pairing at the 3rd anti-codon position. The record is from Rfam by way of RNAcentral. Lineage: Eukaryota; Metazoa; Chordata; Mammalia; Primates; Hylobatidae.
GCAUGGGUGGUUCAGUGGUAGAAUUCUCGCCUGCCACGCGGGAGACCCGGGUUCGAUUCCUGGCCCAUGCA